Molecule: ribosomal RNA, 507 nt
Filed under: Salmonella enterica
Lineage: Bacteria; Pseudomonadati; Pseudomonadota; Gammaproteobacteria; Enterobacterales; Enterobacteriaceae
Description: partial 23S ribosomal RNA
Rfam family: Bacterial large subunit ribosomal RNA
Source: RNAcentral
UAACCGGGCGUUAAGUUGCAGGGUAUAGACCCGAAACCCGGUGAUCUAGCCAUGGGCAGGUUGAAGGUUGGGUAACACUAACUGGAGGACCGAACCGACUAAUGUUGAAAAAUUAGCGGAUGACCUGUGGCUGGGGGUGAAAGGCCAAUCAAACCGGGAGAUAGCUGGUUCUCCCCGAAAGCUAUUUAGGUAGCGCCUCGUGAAUUCAUCUCCGGGGGUAGAGCACUGUUUCGGCUAGGGGGCCAUCCCGGCUUACCAACCCGAUGCAAACUGCGAAUACCGGAGAAUGUUAUCACGGGAGACACACGGCGGGUGCUAACGUCCGUCGUGAAGAGGGAAACAACCCAGACCGCCAGCUAAGGUCCCAAAGUCAUGGUUAAGUGGGAAACGAUGUGGGAAGGCCCAGACAGCCAGGAUGUUGGCUUAGAAGCAGCCAUCAUUUAAAGAAAGCGUAAUAGCUCACUGGUCGAGUCGGCCUGCGCGGAAGAUGUAACGGGGCUAAACCAU